AGGAUGAACGCUGGCGGCGUGCCUAAUACAUGCAAGUCGAGCGAACUGAUUAGAAGCUUGCUUCUAUGACGUUAGCGGCGGACGGGUGAGUAACACGUGGGCAACCUGCCUGUAAGACUGGGAUAACUUCGGGAAACCGAAGCUAAUACCGGAUAGGAUCUUCUCCUUCAUGGGAGAUGAUUGAAAGAUGGUUUCGGCUAUCACUUACAGAUGGGCCCGCGGUGCAUUAGCUAGUUGGUGAGGUAACGGCUCACCAAGGCAACGAUGCAUAGCCGACCUGAGAGGGUGAUCGGCCACACUGGGACUGAGACACGGCCCAGACUCCUACGGGAGGCAGCAGUAGGGAAUCUUCCGCAAUGGACGAAAGUCUGACGGAGCAACGCCGCGUGAGUGAUGAAGGCUUUCGGGUCGUAAAACUCUGUUGUUAGGGAAGAACAAGUACGAGAGUAACUGCUCGUACC
Molecule: ribosomal RNA, 461 nt
Filed under: Bacillus sp. GR1-14
Lineage: Bacteria; Bacillati; Bacillota; Bacilli; Caryophanales; Bacillaceae
Description: bacterial SSU rRNA
Rfam family: Bacterial small subunit ribosomal RNA
Source: RNAcentral